This 23-nucleotide small nuclear RNA is filed under the name Arabidopsis thaliana (thale cress). RNAcentral describes it as "snRNA_16756". Lineage: Eukaryota; Viridiplantae; Streptophyta; Magnoliopsida; Brassicales; Brassicaceae. The record is from RNAcentral.
AUUAUGGAUAUAUUUACAAUAAU